UAGGGAAUCUUCCGCAAUGGGCGAAAGCCUGACGGAGCAACGCCGCGUGAGUGAUGAAGGUCUUCGGAUCGUAAAACUCUGUUAUUAGGGAAGAACAAAUGUGUAAGUAACUAUGCACAUCUUGACGGUACCUAAUCAGAAAGCCACGGCUAACUACGUGCCAGCAGCCGCGGUAAUACGUAGGUGGCAAGCGUUAUCCGGAAUUAUUGGGCGUAAAGCGCGCGUAGGCGGUUUUUUAAGUCUGAUGUGAAAGCCCACGGCUCAACCGUGGAGGGUCAUUGGGAACUGGAAAACUUGAGUGCAGAAGAGGAAAGUGGAAUUCCAUGUGUAGCGGUGAAAUGCGCAGAGAUAUGGAGGAACACCAGUGGCGAAGGCGACUUUCUGGUCUGUAACUGACGCUGAUGUGCGAAAGCGUGGGGAUCAAACAGG
This 429-nucleotide ribosomal RNA is filed under the name Bacteroidota bacterium. RNAcentral's name for it is "Bacteroidetes bacterium partial 16S ribosomal RNA". It matches the Rfam family "Bacterial small subunit ribosomal RNA", at positions 355 to 776 of the family's 1533-position model. Lineage: Bacteria; Pseudomonadati; Bacteroidota. The record is from RNAcentral.